Molecule: ribosomal RNA, 456 nt
Filed under: uncultured bacterium
Lineage: Bacteria
Description: bacterial SSU rRNA
Rfam family: Bacterial small subunit ribosomal RNA
Source: RNAcentral
UACGGGAGGCAGCAGUGGGGAAUAUUGCACAAUGGGCGCAAGCCUGAUGCAGCCAUGCCGCGUGUAUGAAGAAGGCCUUCGGGUUGUAAAGUACUUUCAGCGGGGAGGAAGGCGAUGCGGUUAAUAACCGCGUCGAUUGACGUUACCCGCAGAGGAAGCACCGGCUAACUCCGUGCCAGCAGCCGCGGUAAUACGGAGGGUGCAAGCGUUAAUCGGAAUUACUGGGCGUAAAGCGCACGCAGGCGGUCUGUUAAGUCAGAUGUGGAAUCCCCGGGCUUAACCUGGGAACUGCAUUUUGAAACUGGCAGGCUUGAGUCUUGUAGAGGGGGUAGAAUUCCAGGUGUAGCGGUGAAAUGCGUAGAGAUCUGGAGGAAUACCGGUGGCGAAGGCGGCCCCUGGGACAAAGACUGACGCUCAGGUGCGAAAGCGUGGGGAGCAAACGAGGAUUAGGAUACC